RNAcentral lists this transfer RNA (72 nucleotides) under Camelus bactrianus (Bactrian camel). It matches the Rfam family "tRNA". From Rfam's summary of the family: Transfer RNA (tRNA) molecules are approximately 80 nucleotides in length. Their secondary structure includes four short double-helical elements and three loops (D, anti-codon, and T loops). Further hydrogen bonds mediate the characteristic L-shaped molecular structure. tRNAs have two regions of fundamental functional importance: the anti-codon, which is responsible for specific mRNA codon recognition, and the 3' end, to which the tRNAs corresponding amino acid is attached (by aminoacyl-tRNA synthetases). tRNAs cope with the degeneracy of the genetic code in two manners: having more than one tRNA (with a specific anti-codon) for a particular amino acid; and 'wobble' base-pairing, i.e. permitting non-standard base-pairing at the 3rd anti-codon position. Lineage: Eukaryota; Metazoa; Chordata; Mammalia; Artiodactyla; Camelidae. RNAcentral also lists the same sequence under 3 other names. The record is from Rfam by way of RNAcentral.
GAGGGUAUAGCUCAGUGGUAGAGUGUGUGCUUAGCAUGCAUGAGGUCCUGGGUUCAAUCCCCAGUGCCUCCA